This 44-nucleotide unclassified non-coding RNA is filed under the name Sorangium cellulosum So ce56. Lineage: Bacteria; Pseudomonadati; Myxococcota; Polyangiales; Polyangiaceae. The record is from RNAcentral.
GCGCAGCAAGGGCAACAUCCGUCAUCAAGGACACGCGUAUGUCA